This 474-nucleotide ribosomal RNA is filed under the name uncultured bacterium. RNAcentral describes it as "bacterial SSU rRNA". It matches the Rfam family "Bacterial small subunit ribosomal RNA", at positions 335 to 799 of the family's 1533-position model. The record is from RNAcentral.
ACUCCUACGGGAGGCAGCAGUAGGGAAUCUUCCACAAUGGGCGAAAGCCUGAUGGAGCAACGCCGCGUGGGUGAAGAAGGUCUUCGGAUCGUAAAACCCUGUUGUUAGAGAAGAAAGUGCGUGAAAGUAACUGUUCACGUUUCGACGGUAUCUAACCAGAAAGCCACGGCUAACUACGUGCCAGCAGCCGCGGUAAUACGUAGGUGGCAAGCGUUAUCCGGAUUUAUUGGGGCGUAAAGGGAACGCAGGCGGUCUUUUAAGUCUGAUGUGAAAGCCUUCGGCUUAACCGGAGUAGUGCAUUGGAAACUGGGAGACUUGAGUGCAGAAGAGGAGAGUGGAACUCCAUGUGUAGCGGUGAAAUGCGUAGAUAUAUGGAAGAACACCAGUGGCGAAAGCGGCUCUCUGGUCUGUAACUGACGCUGAGGUUCGAAAGCGUGGGUAGCAAACAGGAUUAGAUACCCUGGUAGGAUAGCG